GACGAACGCUGGCGGCGUGCUUAACACAUGCAAGUCGAACGGAAAGGCCCUGCUUUUGUGGGGUGCUCUAGUGGCGAACGGGUGAGUAACACGUGAGUACCCUGCCCUUGACUGUGGGAUAACUUCAUGAAACUGGGUCUAAUACCGGAUAAGAGCUCCUGCUUCAUGGUGGGGGUUGGAAAGUUUCGGCGGUUGGGGAUGGACUCGCGGCUUAUCAGCUUGUUGGUUGGGUAGUGGCUUACCAAGGCUUUGACGGGUAGCCGGCCUGAGAGGGUGACCGGCCACACUGGGAUUGAGAUACGGCACAGACUACUAUGGGAGGCAGCAGAGGGGAAUAUUGUACAAGGCGCGGAAGCCAGAUGUAACAACGCCGCGCGGGGGAUGAGGGGCUGGGGGUUGGAAUCCGAUGUCGUCUGUCACGAAGCGUGAGUGACGGUACCGGGUAAAGAAGCACCGGCUAACUCCGUG
Molecule: ribosomal RNA, 468 nt
Filed under: uncultured bacterium
Lineage: Bacteria
Description: partial 16S ribosomal RNA
Rfam family: Bacterial small subunit ribosomal RNA
Source: RNAcentral